GUGGGUGACAGAAAACUACAAUUCCUAGGAGGCCCAGCGGCGCAGCUCUCGCUGUGCGGCGGGAGUGAGCUUGGAGGCCCCGCCUUCUUCGGCUAGUAGAGAGGCAGCUUUCCGGCGGGUUGGUACUGAGGUGAACUUUAGCGGGGAGCUUUGUCGGCGCUGAAGGAGCCUUAGAGUGGUUUUCACAUUUUCCUGUGAGACGCCACGCCACUGCCAAAUGCACCUGUCGUAGUUAAACUCCUACCUUUAAUGUAAUGUUUGAGGCCUACUCAAUAUCCAAAAAACAUUUUCUUAAAAUGGCUUCUGUUACUCCGGUGUAUGUACGCUAUUGCCCAUAGAUUUCUAGAAGAUUCCGAUGAAUAUCUUGUCAUUUUUUUUUCAUACUGAAGUGAGUUCAACGUAGUGUUGAUUGGUAGUUAGUUGGCUAUUCCUGAAACUACAGUCUGCCUGAGCCUUCUGGACCACUUUCCGCAGGGCUCUGUGGUGAGGUCGGAGCGCGCCUCGCCUGUGAUGCUGCUCUUGGACAGGCUUUGUACCGUUGGCCUUCGCCAGUACUGGAGAUUGAAUCCAUCCACUUCACCACUGAGACACAUCCUCAGCCUUUUUUAAAUUUUAGAAAAAAUUUAAAAUUUUUAUUACUUUGAGACAAAGUCUUGCUAAGUUGCCCAGACUGGCCUCCAAUUUGUGAUCCUCCUGCCUCAACCUCCUAACCUGGGAUUUCAAGCCACCAUUCCAUGCUGAAAAAUUGUUGGAACAUGGAUGACUAUCUUCAAGUUACUGUAACACAAAAUCUCAAGCCAAAAAGUAACAUAGGAAUAAUACAGACUGGAUCAUUUGAUUAGAUUUUACUGAGUUUGAUAUUCAGAAGAGUAUAGGUCAAAGAAAUAAAACAUUUUCAGUGCUCUGGAUAUCUCUUCACCCAAUUACUACCAUCCUUUUUUCCCCAAAGGGGAUCGAACUCGGGACCUUGUGCUUGCGAGGCCGGUGCCGGAACCACUGAGCUAAAUCCCAGCUAAAUCCCCGAGCCUAUAAUUAUGGAAAAAUACACCAUUUGAUGAACAAUGAAAGCAAAUAUAUCACUAAUAAAUACUAUUUGAAGGAUUUUUUUUUUGUGCAAAAGUUAUUCUGGGAAAGGAAGAUGGUAUCUGAAAAGUAGUAAAACGUUUCCAGAGCCAUUUUAACUAGCUCUCACUCCAUAGUUCAGGCUGGCCUUGAACUCACUUUGUGGCCCAGGCUGGCCUCAAACUUGUGGUGAUCCUCCUGCCUCAGCCACCCUGUGCUGGAAUUAUAGGUGUGUGCUACCAUGCCUGGCUUAAUUUUUGUUUAAUUCAAUCUUUGUUUAACUGUUUUAUUUGUUUAUUUGUUUGGCUUUUUGAGACAAUUACUUUCCUUCCUUCCUUCCUUCCUUCCUUCCUUCCUUCCUUCCUUCCUUCCUUCUUUUCUCUUCUCUCCUCUCCUCUCCCCUCCCCUCCCCUCUCCUCCC
RNAcentral lists this long non-coding RNA (1483 nucleotides) under Heterocephalus glaber (naked mole-rat). Its description in RNAcentral is "lncRNA (ENSHGLG00100046039.1)". Lineage: Eukaryota; Metazoa; Chordata; Mammalia; Rodentia; Bathyergidae. The record is from RNAcentral.